GAACCUUACCUGGGCUCGAAGUGCUCACGACCAUCCGUGGAAACACAGACUUCCCGCAAGGGACGUGAGUAGAGGUGCUGCAUGGCUGUCGUCAGCUCGUGCCGUGAGGUGUUGGGUUAAGUCCCGCAACGAGCGCAACCCUUACUCUUAGUUGCCACCCGCAAGGGGGAACUCUAAGAGGACUGCUCCGGAUAACGGAGAGGAAGGUGGGGAUGACGUCAAGUCAGCAUGGCCUUUAUGUCUGGGGCUACACACGUGCUACAAUGGCCGGUACAAACCGUCGCGAUACCGCAAGGUGGAGCUAAUCGGAGAAAGCCGGUCUCAGUUCGGAUAGCAGGCUGCAACUCGCCUGCUUGAAGUUGGAAUCGCUAGUAAUCGCGGAUCAGCACGCUGCCGUGAAUACGUUCCCGGGCCUUGUCACACCGA
This 426-nucleotide ribosomal RNA is filed under the name uncultured soil bacterium. RNAcentral's name for it is "bacterial SSU rRNA". It matches the Rfam family "Bacterial small subunit ribosomal RNA", at positions 966 to 1393 of the family's 1533-position model. The record is from RNAcentral.